UCUUUUUUCUAGGUUUGCCUCUACUCCCU
RNAcentral lists this non-coding RNA (29 nucleotides) under Mus musculus (house mouse). Lineage: Eukaryota; Metazoa; Chordata; Mammalia; Rodentia; Muridae. The record is from RNAcentral.